RNAcentral lists this ribosomal RNA (253 nucleotides) under uncultured bacterium. RNAcentral's name for it is "partial 16S ribosomal RNA". It matches the Rfam family "Bacterial small subunit ribosomal RNA", at positions 524 to 776 of the family's 1533-position model. The record is from RNAcentral.
UACGUAGGGUGCAAGCGUUGUCCGGAAUUACUGGGUGUAAAGGGUGCGCAGGCGGCCGAGUGUGUUAGAUGUGAAAUCCCGGGGCUCAACCCCGGAACUGCGUCUAAAACUACUUGGCUAGAGUAUUGGAGAGGGUAGCGGAAUUCACGGUGUAGCAGUGAAAUGCGUAGAUAUCGUGAGGAACACCAGAGGCGAAGGCGGCUACCUGGACAAUUACUGACGCUCAGGCACGAAAGCGUGGGGAGCAAAAGGG